This is a long non-coding RNA of Athene cunicularia (burrowing owl), 172 nucleotides long. RefSeq lists it as uncharacterized. The record is from RefSeq and is a predicted model, not a curated record. The transcript has 3 exons. NCBI's taxonomy places the organism in Eukaryota, Metazoa, Chordata, Aves, Strigiformes, Strigidae.
UGCCUAUUUGCUUCUGCUAAUUCUCUCUAACUGCAGCUAGUGGCUGUGUCCUUAUCUGAUGGAAGAUUUAACUCUUGGUAAAAGAAGUCUCAUAAGCAUACUCAACUGUGCGGUCACAGACCUAAUCUGCUACUACUGCCCUGAUCUGCUAUUACUGCCUGAGCUGCAGGAC